RNAcentral lists this small nuclear RNA (196 nucleotides) under Solanum tuberosum (potato). RNAcentral describes it as "snRNA U2". It matches the Rfam family "U2 spliceosomal RNA". From Rfam's summary of the family: U2 is a small nuclear RNA (snRNA) component of the spliceosome (involved in pre-mRNA splicing). Complementary binding between U2 snRNA (in an area lying towards the 5' end but 3' to hairpin I) and the branchpoint sequence (BPS) of the intron results the bulging out of an unpaired adenosine, on the BPS, which initiates a nucleophilic attack at the intronic 5' splice site, thus starting the first of two transesterification reactions that mediate splicing. Lineage: Eukaryota; Viridiplantae; Streptophyta; Magnoliopsida; Solanales; Solanaceae. The record is from Rfam by way of RNAcentral.
AUACCUUUCUCGGCCUUUUGGCUAAGAUCAAGUGUAGUAUCUGUUUUUAUUAGUUUAAUAUCUGAUAUGUGAGUCAUUGACUCACACGAUAUUAACUCUAUUUUUUUAAGGGGAAGGUCUAUCGAAGUAGCUUGCUACAUGGACCUUCACACGUCGCCCAUGCAUUGCACUACUGCACGGGCCUGGCGCACCCUAC